GAGACUUGGACAGGCAGAGCAAUUGCAGACUGUGGAGGGGGGGAAAAAUAAUAAAAGAGCGAGACCUAACCUUCACAUCUGGUUUCAUCAAAUGGAGAAAGAAGAAUGUUGUUCCUCAAAUGUCCUGCUCCCAGGCUAUUUAGAGAAGUGGUACACCAGUCCUUAACAUGCUUGUUCUCCUCCUUAUGUUCCACCUUGGAGAUUCACUGAGUUUCCCCCUUUCAUUAAAUUGUGAGAGUCCAGCUGAGAUCCUAGCUUUCUGAAGACAAGUGCUUAUGGGUUUUCCAGCAUCAGAUACGCUUCAGAUUUGCUGCCUACUUUCUCCCUUUCAUUUAUCUCCUUGUUGCUGGGUGUGCUUCCUUACUUUCAUCUAUCAAAGUAAUGACACAUCAUAUUUAUCAGGCCAGGAGCAAAAUCUCCGGAAAAAAGUAACUAAGUAUAAUUCUCAUUUAAUAGGGCAGAUCGGGCAUUCACUGUCCUCUGCUUCUCAAUAAAAGAAGACUUCUCCUGGUGAAUUUA
Molecule: long non-coding RNA, 519 nt
Organism: Pantherophis guttatus
Lineage: Eukaryota; Metazoa; Chordata; Lepidosauria; Squamata; Colubridae
Source: RefSeq, a predicted model, not a curated record